CUUGCUCUCUGGGUGGCGAGUGGCGGACGGGUGAGGAAUACAUCGGAAUCUACUUUUUCGUGGGGGAUAACGUAGGGAAACUUACGCUAAUACCGCAUACGACCUACGGGUGAAAGCAGGGGAUCUUCGGACCUUGCGCGAUUGAAUGAGCCGAUGUCGGAUUAGCUAGUUGGCGGGGUAAAGGCCCACCAAGGCGACGAUCCGUAGCUGGUCUGAGAGGAUGAUCAGCCACACUGGAACUGAGACACGGUCCAGACUCCUACGGGAGGCAGCAGUGGGGAAUAUUGGACAAUGGGCGCA
Molecule: ribosomal RNA, 300 nt
Filed under: Stenotrophomonas maltophilia
Lineage: Bacteria; Pseudomonadati; Pseudomonadota; Gammaproteobacteria; Lysobacterales; Lysobacteraceae
Description: bacterial SSU rRNA
Rfam family: Bacterial small subunit ribosomal RNA
Source: RNAcentral